AGAUAAUGUGCCCCUUAGUUCGGGAUAGCCACUGGAAACGGUGAUUAAUACCGGAUACUCCUUCUUGUUAUAAGACAAGUCGGGAAAGUUUUUCGCUAAGGGAUCAGUCUAUGUUCCAUCAGCUUGUUGGUGAGGUAAUGGCUCACCAAGGCUAUGACGGAUAUCUGGUUUGAGAGGAUGAUCAGACACACUGGAACUGAGACACGGUCCAGACUCCUACGGGCGGCAGCAGUGAGGAAUAUUGCACAAUGGAGGAAACUCUGAUGCAGCAACGCCGCGUGGAGGAUGACGCAUUUCGGUGUGUAAACUCCUUUUAUUAGGGAAGAUAAUGACGGUACCUAAUGAAUAAGCACCGGCUAACUCCGUGCCAGCAGCCGCGGUAAUACGGAGGGUGCAAGCGUUACUCGGAAUCACUGGGCGUAAAGGGUGCGUAGGCUGGCUUUUAAGUCAGAUGUGAAAUCCAAUGGCUCAACCAUUGAACUGCAUUUGAAACUGAAAGCCUAGAGUUCAGAAGGGGCAGAUGGAAUUAGUGGUGUAGGGGUAAAAUCCGUAGAUAUCACUAGGAAUAUCAAAAGCGAAGGCGAUCUGCUGGGAUGAUAC
RNAcentral lists this ribosomal RNA (600 nucleotides) under uncultured bacterium. RNAcentral describes it as "bacterial SSU rRNA". It matches the Rfam family "Bacterial small subunit ribosomal RNA", at positions 119 to 740 of the family's 1533-position model. The record is from RNAcentral.